ACCGCCGCCUGGCCAGCGCUUCAAAGAUGCGGCGGCGCAGACGGACGCCGACGCGUGGCCCGCGUGGGGCUCGGCCCCGUCGUUGCCGCUAACCGACCUGCUGAAGCAGCGGCUCGCCGCCACGCACCGCAUGGCGAGAAACGGCCGCAGGCGCCGCGACGGCCUCAUCCGCAGCCUCGGGCCUCCCGCCUACGCAUACGCCACCCUGCACCAAACCAUGGAGCUCAUCAGUAAAACAAAGGCGGCCAGAGUGUGCGAGACGCACACGUGAUUGCUCGCCGCGGACGACCACUCUCAAUUGGAAGAUCAUCAUCGCCUUCCCGACUGAGCUGGGCCGACCGCUGUGAAGAUUUCUUCAUCGACCAACCGGGCCGGCCGGGUUCAGAGGGAGCCCCCCGCCUUUCCGAAGGUGGCUCCAUCUUGUUCAAUGGACUCGGAUAUCAUUUGAACCCAACAUCGUAUCGUACAAGGUUGGGUCCAAUGUUUGCGUUCAGAGACCCCGGGAAAUAGCGGCGCUGCGCAAAAAGCGAACUUUAUGCGGAGCCACCAACAACACACGCAAGCCAGCGGCUUAGAAUGCAAA
Hippocampus comes (tiger tail seahorse) is the source of this 583-nucleotide long non-coding RNA. RefSeq lists it as uncharacterized. The transcript has 2 exons. Lineage: Eukaryota; Metazoa; Chordata; Actinopteri; Syngnathiformes; Syngnathidae. The record is from RefSeq and is a predicted model, not a curated record.